Molecule: ribosomal RNA, 528 nt
Filed under: Triticum aestivum (bread wheat)
Lineage: Eukaryota; Viridiplantae; Streptophyta; Magnoliopsida; Poales; Poaceae
Description: partial small subunit ribosomal RNA
Source: RNAcentral
AUCCAAAAGGUUUAUCGAUCCCAAGGGGUACAGAUCCAUAAUAGACAUAUAGAGAUUAUUAUACACCAAGUAACAUCAAAAGUGCGGGUUUCCGAAGAUGGAAUGUCUAAUGUUUUUUCGCCUGGGGAAUUAAUCGGACUAUUACGAGCGGAACGAGCAGGAUAAGCUUUGUAUGAAUCGAUCUAUUAUCGGGCAAUCUUAUUGGGAAUAACAAGGGCUUCCCUGAAUAACCAAAGUUUCAUAUCUGAAGCAAGUUUUCAAGAAACUGCUCGAGUUUUAGCAAAAGCUGCCCUACGAGGUCGCAUUGAUUGGUUGAAAGGCUUGAAGAAAAUGAGUUCUGGGGGGAUUAUACCUAUUGGUACCGGAUUCCAAAAAUUUGUGCAUCGUUCCCCACAAGACAAGAACCUUUAUUUCGAAAAAAAACUAUUCGCGUCGGAAAUGAGAGAUUUUUUGUUUCUCCAUACAUAAUUAGUUUCUUCAGAUUCUGAUGUAACAAACAAUUUUUAUGAGACAUAAUAACCCCCAUAA